This 2414-nucleotide ribosomal RNA is filed under the name human gut metagenome. Its description in RNAcentral is "bacterial LSU rRNA". It matches the Rfam family "Bacterial large subunit ribosomal RNA", at positions 436 to 2870 of the family's 2925-position model. The record is from RNAcentral.
GCGUGAAUCUGCCGGGACCAUCCGGUAAGGCUAAAUACUCCCGAGAGACCGAUAGCGAACCAGUACCGUGAGGGAAAGGUGAAAAGCACUUCGAACAGAAGAGUGAAAUAGUUCCUGAAACCGUGCGCCUACAAGCGGUCGGAGCUCGUUAAUGAGUGACGGCGUGCCUUUUGCAUAAUGAACCUACGAGUUGCCUUUGCCGGCAAGGUUAAGUGUGACGACACACGUAUCCGAAGCGAAAGCGAGUCUGAACAGGGCGUAUAGUCGGCAGUGGCAGACGCGAAACCAAGUGAUCUACCCUUGGCCAGGUUGAAGGCUGGGUAACACCAGCUGGAGGACCGCACCAAUAAGCGUUGAAAAGCUUCUGGAUGAGCUGAGGGUAGGGGUGAAAGGCUAAUCAAACUUGGAGAUAGCUCGUACUCCCCGAAAUGCAUUUAGGUGCAGCCUUGCGGGUUACUGAUGUGAGGUAGAGCGACUGAUAAGAUGCGAGGGCUUCACCGCCUAUCAAGUCUUGACAAACUCCGAAUGCGCAUCAGUUCUACCGCAGGAGUGAGGGCAUGGGUGCUAAGGUCCGUGCCCGAGAGGAGAAGAAUCCGGACCACCUGCUAAGGUCCCGAAAUGACAGCUAAGUUAAACUAACGAAGUCUGACUGCUAAGACAGCUAGGAUGUUGGCUUGGAAGCAGCCAUUCAUUUAAAGAGUGCGUAACAGCUCACUAGUCGAGGAGUCGGGCGUGGAUAAUAAUCGGGUAUCAAGUUGUCUACCGAAGCAGUGGGAUCAUUAAUAUGAUCGGUAGGGGAGCAUUCCAGUCAGCGUCGAAGGCGUACCGUGAGGUAUUCUGGAGCGUCUGGAAAAGCAAAUGUAGGUAUAAGUAACGAUAAAGGGGGCGGGAAACCCCCUCGCCGAAAGACUAAGGUUUCCUGAUCAACGCUAAUCGGAUCAGGGUCAGUCGGGUCCUAAGGCUCAGCCGAACGGCGAUGCCGAUGGCAGAAACGGUUAAUAUUCCGUUACUACCUUCAGGAGUGACGUGGAGACGCAGUAGUGACAGUGCCGCCAUCUGACGGAAUAGAUGGUUGAAGGGUGUAGGAGUCGAUCAUGGCAGGCAAAUCCACCAUGAGAUCCGAACCUGACAGUAUGCCGCGUCCUUCGGGACAAGGCAAUAGUGCGCGUAAGCAUGCUGCCGAGAAAAUCCGCUAAACUUAAUCCUGCAGGUACCCGUACCGCAAACGGACACACGUAGUCGGGAUGAAUAUUCUAAGGCGCUUGAGUGAUUCACGGUUAAGGAACUAGGCAAACUGACCCUGUAACUUCGGGAUAAAGGGUCCCUACCCUUUUAUGGGAGGGCGCAGAGAAUCGGUCCAGGCAACUGUUUAACAAAAACACAGGGCUGUGCCAAAUCGAAAGAUCCAGUAUACAGCCUGACACCUGCCCGGUGCUGGAAGGUUAAGAGGAGAUGUCAUCGAUAAGAGAAGCGUUGAAUUGAAGCCCCAGUAAACGGCGGCCGUAACUAUAACGGUCCUAAGGUAGCGAAAUUCCUUGUCGGGUAAGUUCCGACCUGCACGAAUGGUGUAAUGAUCCGGACGCUGUCUCAACCAUGAGCUCAGUGAAAUUGUAGUAUCGGUGAAGAUGCCGAUUACCCGCGAUGGGACGAAAAGACCCCGUGAACCUUUACUAUAGCUUAUCAUUGAAUCUGGGCACGUGAUGUGUAGGAUAGGUCGGAGGCUUUGAAGCAGGUACGCCAGUAUUUGUGGAGCCGCUGUUGAAAUACGACCCUUUAUUUGUUUGGAUUCUAACCCGUGGAACGGGGACAUUGAUUGGUGGGUAGUUUGACUGGGGUGGUCGCCUCCAAAAGCGUAACGGAGGCUUCUAAAGGUACCCUCAGACCGAUUGGUAACCGGUCGGAGAGUGUAAUGGCACAAGGGUGCUUGACUGAGAGACCCACAAGUCGAUCAGGUAGGAAACUAGAGCAUAGUGAUCCGGUGGUUCCGCAUGGAAGGGCCAUCGCUCAAAGGAUAAAAGGUACUCCGGGGAUAACAGGCUGAUCCCUCCCAAGAGCUCAUAUCGACGGAGUGGUUUGGCACCUCGAUGUCGGCUCGUCACAUCCUGGGGCUGGAGAAGGUCCCAAGGGUUGGGCUGUUCGCCCAUUAAAGUGGCACGCGAGCUGGGUUCAGAACGUCGUGAGACAGUUCGGUCUCUAUCUGUUGUGGGCGCAGGAAAUUUGCGGAGAUCCGACACUAGUACGAGAGGACCGUGUUGGACAGACCCCUGGUGCAUCGGUUGUUCCGCCAGGAGCACAGCCGAGUAGCUAAGUCUGGAAGGGAUAAGCGCUGAAAGCAUCUAAGUGCGAAGCCCACUCCAAGAUAAGAUUUCCGUAUAGGGACGUCAAAGACGAUGACGUGGAUAGGCCGCAGGUGU